Molecule: long non-coding RNA, 873 nt
Filed under: Monodelphis domestica (gray short-tailed opossum)
Lineage: Eukaryota; Metazoa; Chordata; Mammalia; Didelphimorphia; Didelphidae
Description: lncRNA (ENSMODG00000030670.2)
Source: RNAcentral
GGCAAACUCACCUUGGCUUCAUGAGUGAUGUAGUGACCCCCAGAGAAGCUUGUAGGGGAGAAUAGGCAAGGAGAAUGAGAUGUUCAUAGGGAUGUUCAUGGGAUGUUCCCUUUAAAUAAAGGGAAGCCCUUGAGGCAAUCUCAGAGGGGGCUUCCCAACUCAGAGAAAAGGAAGAGCUUGUCAUAGAGAAGCACAGAAUUCAUGACAUCAUCUUAUUGAAAGAUCACAGAAACUCUGAAUUUAUUUCCCAUCAAUAAAGUUACAAAUGUUUUCGUUUCCCCUUGGAAACCUAAUAUGAAUAUGCCGUGGAAUUUGUUUUUUCCCCAGUGAAUUAAAAGGCAUGCGAAGGUUUACUAAAAAGCCAAGUGGUUUGGGGACUGAAAAAGUAGAGAAAUCCUGCUUGAAACUAUCCAUUGCCUAGAAGAGGAUGGACAUGGAGCCCAGUCCUGACUCCAAACACUUCCUGCUUUACUCAGCCCAGUGAGGCUACCUGCUGGGAACAGAGGACAGCUGAAGAAAGAUGCAGAGCUCUGGCAGAGAGUGAGCAAGGCAAGCAAUGGGAAUGACUGUUGCCUCUGGAAGCUGAAGAAAUGUUCAUGGAGCAUUGUGGGUAUUGGCCACCAGGAGCAGUGAUGGGGAUCGGUGACUUGUGUCACCUGGUAAGAGGUGCAGAAAGCAGGCUCCCUCCACUGACAUAGGCUAUGGAUGAGAGGACCAGUUUUGGGAAACAACAUCUGCCAUCCCUUCCAGAGCCCUCUCUAGGACAGUACUAUAUCAUGAUUGCAACUCCUGCCUUCUUUCUAUCAGCUGAGGUCCAGAAGAUCUUACUCCAUCCUUUAAUUCUGACCUUGUGAGUGUCUACCCGCCUCAUGU